UGAUGAUAACUUCAUCUCCAUCUUCCAAAAAUUUACGAGUCGUUUUACCAAGAGACAACUCUUUUGUUCCGUUCCAUGUUAACUCUAACAAGCAUCCAUAAGAUUCAGAUUCCUGUCCACUUAUUGUUCCAGUUCCAAGGAGAUCUCCAGGCCUCAAGUUACAGCCGUUAAUAGUAUGGUGUGCAAGUUGUUGCGUUAGAGUC
RNAcentral lists this long non-coding RNA (203 nucleotides) under Helianthus annuus (common sunflower). RNAcentral's name for it is "sRNA HanXRQr2_Chr06g0262631". The record is from RNAcentral. Lineage: Eukaryota; Viridiplantae; Streptophyta; Magnoliopsida; Asterales; Asteraceae.